AGUGGCGGACGGGUGAGUAACGCGUGGGUAACCUGCCUCACACAGGGGGAUAACAGUUGGAAACGACCGCUAAUACCGCAUAAGCCAACAGGGGCGCAUGCUCUGGUUGGAAAAGAUUAAUCGGUGUGAGAUGGACCCGCGUCUGAUUAGCCAGUUGGCAGGGUAACGGCCUACCAAAGCGACGAUCAGUAGCCGGCCUGAGAGGGUGAACGGCCACAUUGGGACUGAGACACGGCCCAAACUCCUACGGAAGGCAGCAG
RNAcentral lists this ribosomal RNA (260 nucleotides) under uncultured bacterium. RNAcentral describes it as "partial 16S ribosomal RNA". It matches the Rfam family "Bacterial small subunit ribosomal RNA", at positions 94 to 354 of the family's 1533-position model. The record is from RNAcentral.